GGGGAUUUGGCUCAGUGGUAGAGCGCUUGCCUAGGAAGCACAAGGUCCUGGGUUCGGUCUCCAGCCCCA
Molecule: transfer RNA, 69 nt
Filed under: Rattus norvegicus (Norway rat)
Lineage: Eukaryota; Metazoa; Chordata; Mammalia; Rodentia; Muridae
Rfam family: tRNA
About the family: Transfer RNA (tRNA) molecules are approximately 80 nucleotides in length. Their secondary structure includes four short double-helical elements and three loops (D, anti-codon, and T loops). Further hydrogen bonds mediate the characteristic L-shaped molecular structure. tRNAs have two regions of fundamental functional importance: the anti-codon, which is responsible for specific mRNA codon recognition, and the 3' end, to which the tRNAs corresponding amino acid is attached (by aminoacyl-tRNA synthetases). tRNAs cope with the degeneracy of the genetic code in two manners: having more than one tRNA (with a specific anti-codon) for a particular amino acid; and 'wobble' base-pairing, i.e. permitting non-standard base-pairing at the 3rd anti-codon position.
Source: Rfam by way of RNAcentral